CACGCAGGCGGUCUUAUCAGUCAGAUGUGAAAGCCCGGGGCUCAACCCCGGACGUGCAUUUGAAACAGUAAGACUUGAGUACGAGAGAGGAAAGCGGAAUUCCUGGUGUAGAGGUGAAAUUCGUAGAUAUCAGGAGGAACACCGGUGGCGAAGGCGGCUUUCUGGACCGAUACUGACGCUGAGGUGCGAAGGCGUGGGGAGCGAACAGGAUUAGAUACCCUGGUAGUCC
This 229-nucleotide ribosomal RNA is filed under the name uncultured bacterium. Its description in RNAcentral is "partial 16S ribosomal RNA". It matches the Rfam family "Bacterial small subunit ribosomal RNA", at positions 568 to 796 of the family's 1533-position model. The record is from RNAcentral.